GACGAACGCUGGCGGCGUGCCUAACACAUGCAAGUCGAACGGGGUAGCAAUACCCAGUGGCGGACGGGUGCGUAACACGUGAGGAACAUGUCUUUCGGCGGGGAAUAGCCGGCCUAACGGCCGGGCAAUACCGCGUACGACGAUCGAGGCGCAUGUCUUGAUCGUGAAAGCAGCAAUGCACCGAUAGAGUGCCUCGCGGCCUAUCAGCUAGUUGGUGGGGUAACGGCUCACCAAGGCGACGACGGGUAGCUGGUCUGAGAGGAUGAUCAGCCACAUUGGGACUGAGACACGGCCCAGACUCCUACGGGAGGCAGCAGUGGGGAAUAUUGCGCAAUGGGCGAAAGCCUGACGCAGCGACGCCGCGUGUGGGAUGAAGGUCUUCGGAUUGUAAACCACUGUCGGGAGGGACGAAUGCGCCGCAAGGCGAGUGACGGUACCUCCAAAGGAAGCACCGGCUAACUCUGUGCCAGCAGCCGCGGUAAUAC
This 485-nucleotide ribosomal RNA is filed under the name uncultured bacterium. Its description in RNAcentral is "bacterial SSU rRNA". It matches the Rfam family "Bacterial small subunit ribosomal RNA", at positions 28 to 526 of the family's 1533-position model. The record is from RNAcentral.